RNAcentral lists this long non-coding RNA (444 nucleotides) under Rhinopithecus bieti (black snub-nosed monkey). RNAcentral's name for it is "lncRNA (ENSRBIG00000045848.1)". The record is from RNAcentral. Lineage: Eukaryota; Metazoa; Chordata; Mammalia; Primates; Cercopithecidae.
UAGCAUUAAAUGGCUCCUUUCUCUGCUUGAUUGUGCUACAUGAUGCUCCCCUACAAUGGUAGCGUGGACGUCUCGCUGAGAACUGAGAUUCUUGGAUGUAUCCUGUGGAGUCAUGUCAACAGCCAUUAACUAGCCAAAUCAUUAAGACGCAGUUGCACAGAAUUAAAGAAUUUGAAGAUGGGGAAGUUCCAACUUUAUGCAACAAGACGAAAUGACUGGGAAUAAAAGAGAAUGUUUCCUCUUUAAAGAUUCAUAAGAAACAUACAAUGUAUGGUUCCAUGAUAAUUCAAAGAUGUUCAAAUUUCUCAACUAUCAAGAAGUACGGAUCAAAACUACAACGAGAUACUGCGUCCAGAAUUGGUGGGUUCUUAGUCUCACUGACUUCAAGAAUGAAGCUGCGGACCCUCGUGGUGAGUGUUACAGUUCUUAAAGAUGGUGUGUCCG